UUUUUCCCUCCCACUCUGGUGCGCCCCUCCCCGCGCGCCCUACAUCCACCGCCCGCCCGAGGGGGCUCAGUCCGCAGUCGUCACUGUCGCCGCCACGCUUGGCCUCGGAGCUGGUAGCGGCCACCGGUGCCGCUUAGACAGCUGCGUGGGCAACCAGUAGCUGUGUCCAGCCCUUCCGGAACACAUCCUGUGUGAGGUCCCUCCAGCUAUAAGGUGGGCACCAUGUCUGAGAAGUUCGACUGUCACUACUGUAGGGACCCCUUGCAGGGGAAGAAGUAUGUGCAGAAGGAUGGCCACCACUGCUGCCUGAAGUGCUUC
This is a long non-coding RNA of Microtus oregoni (creeping vole), 318 nucleotides long. RefSeq lists it as uncharacterized. The transcript has 3 exons. The record is from RefSeq and is a predicted model, not a curated record. NCBI's taxonomy places the organism in Eukaryota, Metazoa, Chordata, Mammalia, Rodentia, Cricetidae.